ACGUACACUCCUACGGGAGGCAGCAGUGGGGAAUAUUGCACAAUGGGCGCAAGCCUGAUGCAGCCAUGCCGCGUGUAUGAAGAAGGCCUUCGGGUUGUAAAGUACUUUCAGCGGGGAGGAAGGCGAUAAGGUUAAUAACCUUGUUGAUUGACGUUACCCGCAGAAGAAGCACCGGCUAACUCCGUGCCAGCAGCCGCGGUAAUACGGAGGGUGCAAGCGUUAAUCGGAAUUACUGGGCGUAAAGCGCACGCAGGCGGUCUGUCAAGUCGGAUGUGAAAUCCCCGGGCUCAACCUGGGAACUGCAUUCGAAACUGGCAGGCUAGAGUCUUGUAGAGGGGGGUAGAAUUCCAGGUGUAGCGGUGAAAUGCGUAGAGAUCUGGAGGAAUACCGGUGGCGAAGGCGGCCCCCUGGACAAAGACUGACGCUCAGGUGCGAAAGCGUGGGGAGCAAACAGGAUUAGAAACCCUAGUAGUCCCAUGAU
RNAcentral lists this ribosomal RNA (481 nucleotides) under uncultured organism. RNAcentral describes it as "partial 16S ribosomal RNA". It matches the Rfam family "Bacterial small subunit ribosomal RNA", at positions 329 to 801 of the family's 1533-position model. The record is from RNAcentral.